UUUUUACGUGAAUGGUCCAAUGUGUAGUAUUAGCUGUUCUCUUGAAACUAAAGAAUUCGCGGUAUACACUCCGCACAGGGACUCUGUCUCGAUAUCGAUCGUCCGCGUCGGACCUCACUUGGAUUAAUUUGGUUCGUAUACCGCCGUAUAUUGAUUAUCUUUUCAGAGUGUUAUGAAUUUUCUGGUAUCUUUAAUUUGAUCUAUGCAGGUCAAGGUGCAGCUUUUUCUAAGUGUAAUGAUGGAUACAGUGUUUUGUGUUGUUUGGAUCGUUUGUUUGAAAAACGGCAUGAAAUUGGAUUGGGUGGUAAUGUUUGUCAGAUAGAUUCCAUGAUAGUCGGGACUACAACAAGACACAUCAGGGAAAAA
Molecule: ribosomal RNA, 366 nt
Filed under: Odontotermes horni
Lineage: Eukaryota; Metazoa; Arthropoda; Insecta; Blattodea; Termitidae
Description: partial 12S ribosomal RNA
Source: RNAcentral